UCGACUACGUCAUGACACUUCUAGCUCUCCCAAUCAAUUUGGCUUCAUUCCCACUCGUUCAACUAUGGAAGUGAUUUUUCUCAUUAGAAACUUGAUGGAGAAAUAUAGAGAUGUAAAAAAAGACCUACAUAUGGUUUUUAUUGAUUUAGAGAAGGUUUAUGAUAGUGUUCCAAAAGGUGUCUUAUGGAGAGUGUUAGAACAGAAGAGGAUAUCUAUUAGGUACAU
Molecule: unclassified non-coding RNA, 225 nt
Filed under: Hevea brasiliensis (rubber tree)
Lineage: Eukaryota; Viridiplantae; Streptophyta; Magnoliopsida; Malpighiales; Euphorbiaceae
Source: RNAcentral